GACGAACGCUGGCGGCGUGCUUAACACAUGCAAGUCGAACGGAAAGGCCCUGCUUUUGUGGGGUGCUCGAGUGGCGAACGGGUGAGUAACACGUGAGUAACCUGCCCUUGACUUUGGGAUAACUUCAGGAAACUGGGGCUAAUACCGGAUAGGAGCUCCUGCUGCAUGGUGGGGGUUGGAAAGUUACGGCGGUUGGGGAUGGACUCGCGGCUUAUCAGCUUGUUGGUGGGGUAGUGGCUUACCAAGGCUUUGACGGGUAGCCGGCCUGAGAGGGUGACCGGCCACAUUGGGACUGAGAUACGGCCCAGACUCCUACGGGAGGCAGCAGUGGGGAAUAUUGCACAAUGGGCGGAAGCCUGAUGCAGCAACGCCGCGUGCGGGAUGACGGCCUUCGGGUUGUAAACCGCUUUCGCCUGUGACGAAGCGUGAGUGACGGGAAUGGGUAAAGAAGCACCGGCUAACUACG
Molecule: ribosomal RNA, 466 nt
Filed under: uncultured bacterium
Lineage: Bacteria
Description: partial 16S ribosomal RNA
Rfam family: Bacterial small subunit ribosomal RNA
Source: RNAcentral